AUGUUGGUGCAUUUUUUGAAGAAGGGAUGUGGCUACGAUAUAACUUUCAGGCACCAGCAACAAAUGCCAGAGACUCCAGCAGCAGAGUAGACAACGCUCCCGACCAGCAGAACUCCCACCCGGACCUGGCACAGGAGGAGAUCCGCUUCAGCUUCAGCACCACCAAGGCGCCCUGCAUUCUCCUCUACAUCAGCUCCUUCACCACAGACUUCUUGGCAGUCCUCGUCAAACCCACUGGAAGCUUACAGAUUCGAUACAACCUGGGUGGCACCCGAGAGCCAUACAAUAUUGACGUAGACCACAGGAACAUGGCCAAUGGACAGCCCCACAGUGUCAACAUCACCCGCCACGAGAAGACCAUCUUUCUCAAGCUCGAUCAUUAUCCUUCUGUGAGUUACCAUCUGCCAAGUUCAUCCGACACCCUCUUCAAUUCUCCCAAGUCGCUCUUUCUGGGAAAAGUUAUAGAAACAGGGAAAAUUGACCAAGAGAUUCACAAAUACAACACCCCAGGAUUCACUGGUUGCCUCUCCAGAGUCCAGUUCAACCAGAUCGCCCCUCUCAAGGCCGCCUUGAGGCAGACAAACGCCUCGGCUCACGUCCACAUCCAGGGCGAGCUGGUGGAGUCCAACUGCGGGGCCUCGCCGCUGACCCUCUCCCCCAUGUCGUCCGCCACCGACCCCUGGCACCUGGAUCACCUGGAUUCAGCCAGUGCAGAUUUUCCAUAUAAUCCAGGACAAGGCCAAGCUAUAAGAAAUGGAGUCAACAGAAACUCGGCUAUCAUUGGAGGCGUCAUUGCUGUGGUGAUUUUCACCAUCCUGUGCACCCUGGUCUUCCUGAUCCGGUACAUGUUCCGCCACAAGGGCACCUACCAUACCAACGAAGCAAAGGGGGCGGAGUCGGCAGAGAGCGCGGACGCCGCCAUCAUGAACAACGACCCCAACUUCACAGAGACCAUUGAUGAAAGCAAAAAGGAAUGGCUCAUUUGAGGGGUGGCUACUUGGCUAUGGGAUAGGGAGGAGGGAAUUACUAGGGAGGAGAGAAAGGGACAAAAGCACCCUGCUUCAUACUCUUGAGCACAUCCUUAAAAUAUCAGCACAAGUUGGGGGAGGCAGGCAAUGGAAUAUAAUGGAAUAUUCUUGAGACUGAUCA
Molecule: unclassified non-coding RNA, 1149 nt
Filed under: Homo sapiens (human)
Lineage: Eukaryota; Metazoa; Chordata; Mammalia; Primates; Hominidae
Description: contactin associated protein 2 (ENSG00000278728.2)
Source: RNAcentral